Molecule: long non-coding RNA, 1979 nt
Filed under: Mus musculus (house mouse)
Lineage: Eukaryota; Metazoa; Chordata; Mammalia; Rodentia; Muridae
Description: RIKEN cDNA 3110053B16 gene (3110053B16Rik)
Source: RNAcentral
AGAAGGCGCCGGGGCAAGCGGCCUGUUGGCGCCCAGUUUCAGCUGGCUGUUCCCGCUAGCAUCAGGGCUCGAUCGUAGAGGACGCGGCAGCCGCAGCUCGCGGAGAACAGCGGGCAGAGCUGUGGGCUGCACGCGCCCCUGCAGCCACCGGGCGUCCCGCAGAGGCUCCCGCGCCCUGCGGCGACUUCCGCCCCCGCGCUCCCCUUUGUCCGAGUCCCCAAGCGGCGGCGGCGGGGUAGGAGCCCACGCCGUGGGCGACUGAGGCGGCGGCAGUCCGCGUCCCGGCGCCCUGGAGAUGCCGGACCAGAUCUCCGUGUCGGAAUUCGUGGCCGAGACCCUUGAGGACUACAAGGCGCCCACGGCCUCUAGCUUCACCACGGGCACGGCCCAGUGCCGGAACACCAUGGCGGCCAUCGAGGAGGUUAAGCUGUUCCCCGGAAUGUUUUAACAACAGGGCAUACCCAGGUGAAUUAUACCCUUUUGGGGUUCAGACCUCGCUCAACUGGAGACCUGCCUGUCUGUGCAAAGCCCAGUGCCCCACAUGAAUGGAUGCAGUGACUUAUGAUGAUGUGCAUGUGAACUUCACUGGGGAAGAGUGGAAUUUGCUGGAUCCUUCCCAGAAGAGUCUCUACAAAGAUGUGAUGCUGGAGACCUACUGGAACCUCACUGUUAUAGGCUACACUUGGGAAAACCAUCAUAUUGAAGGACAUUGUCAAAGUUCAAGAAGAAAUGAAAGGUUUAGUCUCCACUGCCAGCUGCCAUGGGCAAGCAGAACAGCAAACUGGGUCCUGAGGUGCUGCAGGACCUGCGGAAAACAGGGAGUUCACCCACCAUGAGCUUCAGGAGUGGUACAAGGGCUUCCUCAAUGACUGUCCCACUGGCCACCUGACUGUGGACAAUUUCAAGAUCUAGGCCAACUUCUUCCCCUACAGAGAUUCCUCCAAGUUUGCUGAACAUGUCUUCCACACCUUUGACACCAACAGCGACAGCACCAUCGACUUUCAAGAGUUCAUCAUUGCUCUGAUCAUGACCUCUCGGGGCAAGCUGGAACAGAAGCUCAAGUGGGCCUUCAGAAUGUCUGAACUAGACAGCAAUAGCUACUUCAGCUGCAGUGAAAUGCUGGAGAUAGUGCAGGCAAAAUGUCCCUGGAAGAAUUCAACAAAGGUGCCAAGAGUGACCCAUCCAUUGUCUGGUUGCUGCAGUGUGAUCCCAGCAGUGCUAGCCAGUUCUCAGGGGAAUGGGCUUUUACACAGUUGUGAGAAGCACAGUCUUGACCUGCCAUCUUCAGCUUUGCUUGCAAAAGUGGAUUUCUCCGUGAUUUCUCCUGCUCUCUCGGGACCUGGGUCCAGACAGCACAUCACACUCACCUGGUCUAGCUGGAUUCAGCUCCCUCCUCUAUCUGACCCAAUAGAUGUCCGUCCCCAUCCAGUCCAGGCUGGUUCCUUCCAAGGUUUCAAGUGUUCUCAGCUGUAGGGCUCCUUCCCUCCCCACGGAGGGCCUGGAGGCCCUUAAGGACACCAGACAGGACUUUUCAGUAUCUUACCGAGACCAGCUGAUUUAUUCUAUGAUCCCAGCUGACUUUGUGAGCAUGAAGAAGAUGGAGAGUAGAUAGGCAAGCCCUUCCUGUUCAUGGCUCCACCUCCCUUGUUCAUUUUCUCCAACCACAGCUGCUUGCAUGUAUAUACCGUGGUAUCCUUACUUUUAAUAUAUAAGUUUUGUAUAAAGUGAGAAGUUUCAGCCCCUGUAUUUAAAGCCUCUGACUGCCUUUAAAGCAUGGUCCCCUGUGGCUUGUGAUUCUCCCCACCCCCAAAUCUAGCUGUGCUGUGGUAUUUAAGUAUUCAUUUGCCUAAUUAUACAGGAUAUACAUGCAUGCCCAAGGCUGUGGACAUCUGCCCUCCGUCCUGCAAAUACAGGUUUUCUUGGGUGCUCCAUCCUUCCUUUCCAUUGACCUGGAAUAUUAAAAUGGUCAAAUAAACCAA